RNAcentral lists this transfer RNA (283 nucleotides) under Amaranthus sp. MW-2265. Lineage: Eukaryota; Viridiplantae; Streptophyta; Magnoliopsida; Caryophyllales; Amaranthaceae. The record is from RNAcentral.
GGGGGAUAUGGCGAAAUCGGUAGACGCUACGGACUUGAAUAUGAAAAAAUGGAAGAAUUUUUGUGACUCUAUUUCAAGUUGAAAAAAGAAUCAAAUAUUCAUCAAAUCAUUCACUCCAUAGUCUGAUAGAUCUUUCUUUGAAAGAACCGGUUAAUCGGUUACUCGGACGAGAAUAAAGAUAGAGUCCCAUUAUACAUGUCAAUACUGACAACAAUGAAAUUUAUAGUACGAGGAAAAUCCGUCGACUUUAAAAAUCGUGAGGGUUCAAGUCCCUCUAUCCCCA